Molecule: ribosomal RNA, 440 nt
Filed under: uncultured bacterium
Lineage: Bacteria
Description: partial 16S ribosomal RNA
Rfam family: Bacterial small subunit ribosomal RNA
Source: RNAcentral
CCUACGGAGGGCAGCAGUAGGGAAUAUUGCUCAAUGGGGGAAACCCUGAAGCAGCAACGCCGCGUGGAGGAUGAAGGUUUUCGGAUUGUAAACUCCUUUUGUUAGAGAAGAUAAUGACGGUAUCUAACGAAUAAGCACCGGCUAACUCCGUGCCAGCAGCCGCGGUAAUACGGAGGGUGCAAGCGUUACUCGGAAUCACUGGGCGUAAAGAGCGCGUAGGCGGGAUAGCAAGUCAGAUGUGAAAUCCUAUGGCUUAACCAUAGAACUGCAUUUGAAACUGUUAUUCUAGAGUAUGGGAGAGGUAGGUGGAAUUCUUGGUGUAGGGGUAAAAUCCGUAGAGAUCAAGAGGAAUACUCAUUGCGAAGGCGACCUGCUAGAACAUAACUGACGCUGAUGCGCGAAAGCGUGGGUAGCAAACAGGAUUAGAUACCCCAGUAGUC